CCUACGGGGGGCUGCAGUCGAGAAUAGUCUACAAUGGUCGAAAGACUGAUAGUGCGACGCCGCGUGAACGAAGAAGCCCUUCGGGGUGUAAAGUUCUUUUAUAUGUGAGCAGUGGGUUCCAUAUGAAUAGUAUGGGAUCAGAGAUAUUAGCAUAUGAAUAAGCAACGGCUAACUCCGUGCCAGCAGCCGCGGUAACACGGGGGUUGCGAGCGUUGUCCGGAAUUACUAGGCGUAAAGGGCAGGCAGGCGGAUCUAUAAGUUUUUCGUUUAAGGCGUCAGCUUAACUGGCGUACGGCGGGAGAUACUGUAGAUCUGGAAUGCGGUUGGGGAAGACAGAAUUCCUGGUGUAGCGGUGGAAUGCGCAGAGAUCAGGAGGAAUACCGAAGGCGAAGGCAGUCUUCCAAGCCGUCAUUGACGCUCAACUGCGAAGGUGUGGGUAUCAAACAGGAUUAGAUACCCCAGUAGUC
RNAcentral lists this ribosomal RNA (467 nucleotides) under uncultured bacterium. RNAcentral describes it as "bacterial SSU rRNA". It matches the Rfam family "Bacterial small subunit ribosomal RNA", at positions 338 to 795 of the family's 1533-position model. The record is from RNAcentral.